RNAcentral lists this ribosomal RNA (229 nucleotides) under uncultured bacterium. Its description in RNAcentral is "partial 16S ribosomal RNA". It matches the Rfam family "Bacterial small subunit ribosomal RNA", at positions 568 to 796 of the family's 1533-position model. The record is from RNAcentral.
UGCGUAGGCGGUUAGAUAAGUCAGAGGUGAAAGUUUGCAGCUUAACUGUAAAAUUGCCUUUGAAACUGUAUAACUUGAAUAGCGUUGAGGUCAGCGGAAUGUGACAUGUAGCGGUGAAAUGCAUAGAUAUGUCAUAGAACACCAAUUGCGAAGGCAGCUGGCUGGGCGUUUAUUGACGCUGAGGCACGAAAGCGUGGGGAGCGAACAGGAUUAGAUACCCUGGUAGUCC